Molecule: RNA transcript, 2770 nt
Organism: Vicia villosa (hairy vetch)
Lineage: Eukaryota; Viridiplantae; Streptophyta; Magnoliopsida; Fabales; Fabaceae
Exons: 2
Source: RefSeq, a predicted model, not a curated record
UUUGCCCUUGCCUCUCCAAAAAGAACCUAUACAAAAUUCUCUUGUAUCGGCGAUUUUUUAGUCUUCACGCACAGUCACUAAGCAUCUCUCAGCUCUAUCCACACGAACACAGUUCAGUUGAAUUGAAUCGAAUCUUCUUCUUCCACCAAAACCCUACAUUUCAUUACAAUCCAUUGAUUUCACCAAUAACCAUGUUCAAAGCAUUGCUACACCCCAAUGAUUCCGCCAUAUCAACAACCUCAAGAAUACUCUGCAACUUGCAUUUCCCAUUUGCUCACAAAUUCCUCACCACAACCACCACCACUUCACCCUCAUUCGCUGUCUCCUACUUCAUCAACAACCUCAAAUUCUCAUCAGAAUCCGCUCUCAAAGCCUCCAAACUCGUCCAUUUCAAAACCUCAAAAAAACCCGACUCAGUCCUCAGCUUCUUCAGAACCCACGGUUUCGCCGAUUCAGAUAUACACAAAAUCAUCCAAAGGGAGCCCUGGCUUCUUUCCUGCAACACCCAGAAAAGGGUUCUCCCAAAGUUUCAAUUUUUACUCUCCAAAGGCGCUUCUACCUCUGAUAUCGUCCGCAUCGUUGUAGGUAACCCUAGAUUCAUGAAAUCCAGCUUGAAUAAUCGUGUUAUCCCUGUUUAUAAUUUGGUAACUCAAUAUCUUCAAUCCGAUGAAAAGACUAUUGCUUCAGUAAUUUCAUGUCCUUCUUUGCUUUGUAGUGAUUAUCUUGCUCCUAAUGUCAAUAUGAUGGUUGAGAAUGGUGUUUGCUAUUCUAGCAUUUAUAGGAUUCUUCGUACUAGACCGAAUGUUAUCUUUUGUAGACCUAGAGAGUUGAAGGAGACGGUGGAGGAAUUGAAAAACAUGGGAUUUGAUCCUUCUAAAUCGUAUUUCGGUGAUGCAUUGCUCGGGAAAAUAGGUUUAAGUAAAUCAAAAUGGAAUGAGAGAAUUGAGACCUUCAAGAGUUGGGGUUGGUCUGAGGAAACUGUUUUGGAAGCUAUUAAGAGGCAGCCGAAAUGUAUGUUAGCGUCGAACGAUAAAAUCAAUAGGGUGAUGAGUUUUUGGGUUAAUGAGAUGGAUUGGGAUUCUUCUUAUCUAGUCAAGGGACCAGGGAUGUUUGGUUAUUGUUUGGAGAAAAGGAUCAUUCCAAGAGCUAUGGUUAUUUUUUAUCUUCUAGCUAAGGGUUUGAGAAGCGAAAAGGCUAGCUUGCUUUCUCCGUUUUAUAUGUCUGAGAAAUUGUUUUUGGAAAAAUAUGUGUUACGUUUUAGAGAGGAGGAAACUUCUCAUCUAUUGAAGUUAUAUCAUGGAAUGAUGAAGCUGGGAGAUAAGAAGGCAAGGGACAUAGAAGAGUCAUGAUCAUGAUAAGUUACAUUUGUAAAAUGUUUGAUUGUAGAAAAGUGCUUCACUUUACUGGUAUUUGACAUUGAUUUAUGGAAAUGCUUUCUGUUGGAACCUCUUGUCACAAGCAAUUUCAGAUUGAUCAACAUGGACAACUAAAGACUUAUUGUAUACGAUAUCAGGGACGACAAUUUGUGUUAUCACUUUAUGCUGGAUGGAACUCUUUAGAAAUUGUUCUGACCGACCUCAAGUCUAAUCUUUCCAAGUAAUAUGGGGUUUUAAGGUGUACUGAGAUUGUUGCCCUCCGGUCGAGGCUAAGAGACACCGUGUGUUUGUGAACCCUGAGCAUGUUUAUCCCUCCUUCUAGUGUCAAUGUUCUGGUCGACUUCAAAUCUGCUGACCACUAUGGCUAUGAGGUAUUGUUCGCUUUGAGAGUGAAAACUCGUCACGGUUUUGUCUUUUGGAAAACACACUUCAUUGGGUUUAAGAGUGUCUGUGUUGUAUAUAAAAUAUUUUUAUCCUCAAUUCUCAAACAAUGUGAGACUUUAAGGUAUAUUAGAGUAGUUGCAAUGGCCUCUGUAUAUUAGAAUAGUUGCAAGGGCCUCAAUUGUGAAGCUUGUGAUUAUAUUCUUUGAAAAAAUGUGAUGCUUUUUUAUUUUAUUUUUAUGAAAUACAUUGCGAGUGUGAUGUUUUAAGCGGGAAACAUCUCCAAAAUCGAAGAUUUCUCAAAGCAACAUUUUCUUGCUUUGGUCGAAAUCAUGUUUGGUGUUGAUAUAUAGGAAUCUAAAACAAAUGAGCUAUUAGAUUAUUGUAUUUAGAAAUAUCUUCCUAAGAAAAGAUUACUCACUCAUGUCCUUAACAGUUAGGGAAUACAAACGAGGAACUUGUGAAUGUUGAUUGUCGGAUCCUCUCAUCCACCAUAAUUGUGUACUUAGACUCUUGUUUGCCGCCUUUGGUGGUGGAGAACCUUUUUUGUUGGAGAACAUAAGUUGGUUGUUAAUUUCCUUAGGUUAAUUCAGAGAUUUAUCCUCUCUUCAGAAAGAGACCGAUGGUGGUGGCGACAUGAGAAAGAAGCAAUUUACUUGGUUGCGUUAGCUUGCAAUGCCCCCCUUAAUGCUAGUUUGGGUGUCGCUAUCCCUAUUAAUAAAGUGAUAUUAGCACGCCCUUAAUUUUGGAUAGGUAGAACCAUUCUAAGUGGUUGUUUUUUCUUGUCAACACUUCUAGGGUAAGAUCUUACUAUUGCCAACUAAAUCCUUAUUAUUGCCAACUUGUUCAAGUGUCGAGUCUUACCUGAUCUCGAUGGUAUUUCUUAUGAGUUGUGUGAUGGGUCUAUAUAGUCGGUGUAAUUUAUAAGAUGGUAGCUCCGAACUUCGGUGUGGUAUAUAAUUUUUAGGUGGCUUGAGUAAACUUUUGUUCUUUCUAUUGAUCUUCCAUCAAGU